CUUCAGUUUCCUCAGCACGGGCCAGACUGUUGGCUUAACUCUGCUGAUCUCCUCUCCCUAGCACUCUCCUCCAGCCCACAGCAGCAUUUCAGUGGUGUCAACAGCCUUCAGUAGCCUCCAAGAGACCUGCAGCAAAGGAGAGGUAUACCCAAUCCAGCUUCCAAACAUGUUCAGAGAGCCUUACAUUCUGCAGUUAGUAUUGCUUCCAGGAUUAGAGAACAGUGAGGAAGAAGAGCUUGCAGAGGUAACUAAGAGUUAA
Molecule: long non-coding RNA, 259 nt
Filed under: Phasianus colchicus (ring-necked pheasant)
Lineage: Eukaryota; Metazoa; Chordata; Aves; Galliformes; Phasianidae
Description: lncRNA (ENSPCLG00000022111.1)
Source: RNAcentral